GGUAGAGGAGCGUCGUGUAAGUCUGUGAAGGGGCGUUGAGAAGCGCGCUGGAGAUAUCACGAGUGCGAAUGCUGACAUGAGUAACGAUAAUGCGGGUGAAAACCCCGCACGCCGGAAGACCCAGGGUUUCUGUUCGACGUCAAUCGGAGCAGAGUGAGUCGGCCCCUAAGGCGAGGCCGAAAGGCGUAGUCGAUGGGAAACGGGUUAAUAUUCCCGUACCGGAUGUGAUUGCGAUGGGGGGACGAAGAAGGCUAGGUGAGCCAGGCGUUGGUUGUCCUGGUGAAAGCCGGUAGGCCGAGGGUUCAGGGAAAUCCGGAUCCUCAAGGCCGAGAGGCGAGACGAACAGACUACGGUCUGGAAGUCAUCGAUGCCACGCUUCCAGGAAAAGCCUCUAAGCUUCAGAUCACAUGCGACCGUACCCCAAACCGACACAGGUGGUCAGGGUGAGAAUCCCAAGGCGCUUGAGAGAACUCGGGUGAAGGAACUAGGCAAAAUGGCACCGUAACUUCGGGAGAAGGUGCGCCGGCAUAGGGUGACGGACUUCGCGUCCCGAGCUCGAGCCGGUCGAAGAUACCAGGUGGCUGCAACUGUUUAUUAAAAACACAGCACUCUGCUAACGCGUAAGCGGACGUAUAGGGUGUGACGCCUGCCCGGUGCCGGAAGGUUAAUUGAUGGCGUUAGCUCCGGCGAAGCGCUUGAUCGAAGCCCCGGUAAACGGCGGCCGUAACUAUAACGGUCCUAAGGUAGCGAAAUUCCUUGUCGGGUAAGUUCCGACCUGCACGAAUGGCGUAAUGAUGGCCACGCUGUCUCCACCCGAGACUCAGUGAAAUUGAAAUCGCCGUGAAGAUGCGGUGUCCCCGCGGCUAGACGGAAAGACCCCGUGAACCUUUACUAUAGCUUCACACUGGAUGCUGAUGUUGCUUGUGUAGGAUAGCUGGGAGGCUUGGAACCUGGGACGCCAGUCCUAGGGGAGCCGACCUUGAAAUACCAGCCUGGCAUCAUUGGCGUUCUAACUUGGGCCCGUUAUCCGGGUCGAGGACAGUGUGUGGUGGGUAGUUUGACUGGGGCGGUCUCCUCCCAAAGCGUAACGGAGGAGCACGAAGGUACCCUCAGCACGGUUGGAAAUCGUGCAAUGAGUGCAAGAGCAUAAGGGUGCUUGACUGCGAGACAGACACGUCGAGCAGGUGCGAAAGCAGGUUCUAGUGAUCCGGUGGUUCUGUAUGGAAGGGCCAUCGCUCAACGGAUAAAAGGUACUCCGGGGAUAACAGGCUGAUACCGCCCAAGAGUUCACAUCGACGGCGGUGUUUGGCACCUCGAUGUCGGCUCAUCACAUCCUGGGGCUGAAGUCGGUCCCAAGGGUAUGGCUGUUCGCCAUUUAAAGUGGUACGCGAGCUGGGUUUAGAACGUCGUGAGACAGUUCGGUCCCUAUCUGCCGUGGGCGUUGGAGAUUUGAGAAGGGCUGCUCCUAGUACGAGAGGACCGGAGUGGACGCACCUCUGGUGUUCCGGUUGUCACGCCAGUGGCAUUGCCGGGUAGCUAUGUGCGGACGGGAUAACCGCUGAAAGCAUCUAAGCGGGAAGCCCCCUUCAAGAUGAGAUCUCCCCGAGGCCUCGAGCCUCCUGAAGGGCCCAGCGAGACCAGCUGGUUGAUAGGCACGGUGUGGAAGCGCUGUAAGGCGUUGAGCUAACGUGUACUAAUGGCCCGUGAGGCUUGACCAUAUAACACCCAAAGGGU
This 1734-nucleotide ribosomal RNA is filed under the name Chromohalobacter israelensis. RNAcentral describes it as "partial 23S ribosomal RNA". It matches the Rfam family "Bacterial large subunit ribosomal RNA", at positions 1227 to 2925 of the family's 2925-position model. Lineage: Bacteria; Pseudomonadati; Pseudomonadota; Gammaproteobacteria; Oceanospirillales; Halomonadaceae. The record is from RNAcentral.